GACGAACGCUGGCGGCGUGCCUAAUACAUGCAAGUCGAACGCAGUGGGGACGGGUGAGUAACACGUGGGUAACCUCCCAUCAGAGGGGAUAACACUUGGAAACAGGCGCUAACCCGACACUGCUGGAUGGACCAGCGGUGAAUUAGUCAUUGGGGGAGGUAACGGCCCACCAAGGCCACGAUGCAUAGCGGGCCUGGGAGGGUGAUCGGCCACGCGGGGACUGAGACACGGCCCAGACUCCUACGGGAGGCAGCAGUAGGGAAUCUUCGGCAAUGGGCGAAAGUCUGACCGAGCAACGCCGCGUGAUUGAAGAAGGUUUUCGGAUCGUAAAACUCUGUUGUUAGAGAAGCGGUAUCUAACCAGAAAGCCACGGCUAACUACGUGCCAGCAGCCGCGGUAAUAC
RNAcentral lists this ribosomal RNA (403 nucleotides) under uncultured bacterium. RNAcentral's name for it is "partial 16S ribosomal RNA". It matches the Rfam family "Bacterial small subunit ribosomal RNA", at positions 28 to 526 of the family's 1533-position model. The record is from RNAcentral.